This 507-nucleotide long non-coding RNA is filed under the name Mytilus galloprovincialis (Mediterranean mussel). Lineage: Eukaryota; Metazoa; Mollusca; Bivalvia; Mytilida; Mytilidae. The record is from RNAcentral.
AACAAGAGAGACGUUCCGGUGGUCAUUAAACGAUAACAAUAGAGACGUUCCGAUGGACAUUAACUCGUUGGCUUUUUUUUGGCUUUUAAAACGUGAAGACAAUCAGAUAGGAUGACAAUCUUAUGUUAUGGAAUACUAUCAGUCAAAUUAACGAAAGUGUAGUAGAUCAUAUUGUUCAAAAUCUGGAAAACAGUAUCUUUUGAAGUUCAUUUUUCAAAGCCCACGUGGUGUUCAGAGAAUCAAGGUCAAAAACGAAAAUAGAAUAUUGUCGACUCGACCUCAAAUAAAUAACAUUUCCAAAUGAUUUAUGUAUCAGACUUAUUGAACAGUUUACAACAAAAAAGAAAAAAGAAAAUCAGAGGAUAUAUCAAUUUUCUGUCAAUGCUUGAGAAAUAAUUGUAUGAUUUAAAUACGCGUAACAGUCUUUAGAGAGAAGAGGGGGGUCAUUUGUUUACAAAUGCACGUAGUUAUGCAAAAUAAAUCGAUCAAGAUUUAUAACAAACCGGA